GAGCAUUUUUUUACUGAAAAAUUUAAGGAGACAAGUACAAGAAACUCGGUCAAUAGGUCUAAGUUGAGUAUGCCUCAUCGUACGGGUAGUAAACCAAUUAGGGAGAUCAUUUAUGAAAUGGUGAGUAAAUCUUAUAAUUCUAUUAAGAAACCUCAUCUUUGUUACAAAGAUUUCUUUGACUUCUUUAUUGUAAUGUGAAGGGUGGUAAAGAUGGUAAUCCACCAGACGUGGUAACUAUUUUUUUUGAGAUUCGUAAGUAGAACAACAAGCUUGUCGAACCUGAAACUAGUGAGAAAUAUGAUAAAAUUAAAGAAUUGGUGCUAUCUGAAUCGUCUCUUACAAACAUUGAGGUUGUAGAAAGGUGCUCCGAACAAAAGAGUCAUGUAGUUGGAUUUGGUGGUGGGAUAACCUCUAUGGAGUUGAAAGGUGGUAACUCCUCUAAAUCUGCAUUGUAGGAAAAGUUGAAUGCUACUGUAAAAGAAAAUGAAACACUAAAAGGACGUUUGGAAGGGCUAGAGAGUGAAUAUGAUGAGCUAGAGAGUAAAUACACACAGCUUGCAAAGAUAGUGUUUGAUCAGCCUUCAUCACCAUCUUCAACUGAUCAAUAGAUUGAAUCAUAUAAUGGAUCAAAAACUUGAAGCCCGAAGAACUUAUCCUUGAAGAAAGUGUAGAGCAUGUUGAAGUACAAGAGGUUUUUGGUUCGUCAGCGAUGGUUUAAAGACACUUUCUUAUGUACAUAUAUAUGCUGCAAUUUUACUUUUGUUCUUUUUAGGAAUUAUUAAAAAUGAUGAUUAACUCAUCUCAUUUUAUGCU
Nicotiana attenuata is the source of this 813-nucleotide long non-coding RNA. RefSeq lists it as uncharacterized. The transcript is spliced from 4 exons. NCBI's taxonomy places the organism in Eukaryota, Viridiplantae, Streptophyta, Magnoliopsida, Solanales, Solanaceae. The record is from RefSeq and is a predicted model, not a curated record.